UGGGGGAAUUUUGGACAAUGGGCGAAAGCCUGAUCCAGCAAUGCCGCGUGUGUGAAGAAGGCCUUCGGGUUGUAAAGCACUUUUGUCCGGAAAGAAAUCCUUGGCUCUAAUACAGUCGGGGGAUGACGGUACCGGAAGAAUAAGCACCGGCUAACUACGUGCCAGCAGCCGCGGUAAUACGUAGGGUGCAAGCGUUAAUCGGAAUUACUGGGCGUAAAGCGUGCGCAGGCGGUUUGCUAAGACCGAUGUGAAAUCCCCGGGCUCAACCUGGGAACUGCAUUGGUGACUGGCAGGCUAGAGUAUGGCAGAGGGGGGUAGAAUUCCACGUGUAGCAGUGAAAUGCGUAGAGAUGUGGAGGAAUACCGAUGGCGAAGGCAGCCCCCUGGGCCAAUACUGACGCUCAUGCACGAAAGCGUGGGGAGCAAACAGGAUUAGAUACCCUGGGUAGUCCACGCCCUAAACGAUGUCAACUAGUUGUUGGGGAUUCAUUUCCUUAGUAACGUAGCUAACGCGUGAAGUUGACCGCCUGGGGGAGUACGGUCGCAAGAUUAAAAC
RNAcentral lists this ribosomal RNA (555 nucleotides) under uncultured bacterium. RNAcentral describes it as "partial 16S ribosomal RNA". It matches the Rfam family "Bacterial small subunit ribosomal RNA", at positions 354 to 900 of the family's 1533-position model. The record is from RNAcentral.